This 506-nucleotide ribosomal RNA is filed under the name uncultured Glomus. RNAcentral describes it as "SSU rRNA". It matches the Rfam family "Eukaryotic small subunit ribosomal RNA", at positions 569 to 1078 of the family's 1831-position model. Lineage: Eukaryota; Fungi; Glomeromycota; Glomeromycetes; Glomerales; Glomeraceae. The record is from RNAcentral.
AGCAGCCGCGGUAAUUCCAGCUCCAAUAGCGUAUAUUAAAGUUGUUGCAGUUAAAAAGCUCGUAGUUGAAUUUCGGGGUCAGUAGGUUGGUCGUGCCAAUGGUAUGCACUGGCUUUACUGAUUCCUCCUUCUUGAAGAACUGUAAUGUCAUUAAUUUGGUGUUGCAGGGAAACAGGACUGUUACUUUGAAAAAAUUAGAGUGUUUAAAGCAGGCUAACGCUUGAAUACAUUAGCAUGGAAUAAUGAAAUAGGACGUUCGAUCCUAUUUUGUUGGUUUCUAGGAUCGACGUAAUGAUUAAUAGGGAUAGUUGGGGGCAUUAGUAUUCAAUUGUCAGAGGUGAAAUUCUUGGAUUUAUUGAAGACUAACUACUGCGAAAGCAUUUGCCAAGGAUGUUUUCAUUAAUCAAGAACGAAAGUUAGGGGAUCGAAGACGAUCAGAUACCGUCGUAGUCUUAACCAUAAACUAUGCCGACUAGGGAUCGGAUGAUGUUAUUUUUAAUGACUCA